Lagopus muta (rock ptarmigan) is the source of this 585-nucleotide long non-coding RNA. RefSeq lists it as uncharacterized. NCBI's taxonomy places the organism in Eukaryota, Metazoa, Chordata, Aves, Galliformes, Phasianidae. The transcript has 3 exons. The record is from RefSeq and is a predicted model, not a curated record.
UUCAGGGUAAAGAGCAUCUAUUGAUAGUAAUAUUACAAAAGGAGACACACAGCGUAUCCUUUUUGAAAAUAGCUUUUACAUUGAAGGGAUGGAAGGUUUGGCAUAAAGUGCUAUUAACCUUCCAAAACAUUCACCUCGGAGGCUAAACUUCGCAGUACUUCAGCUUCAAUUCUGAGAAAUGUCUCUUUUCCACAACAACAUGAUAAGUGAGAGUGAAUGAAGUCCCUUGCGCAACAAAUGCAGGUUUGAGGAAUACCUCUUCAUCCAUCUUCAAAUAAUAAGAGAAUGGCAAUAAGAGACGUGAUCUGACUGAACUUCUCUCUAUGAAAGCAUUUUAAAAUAUGGCACUUUACCCAUGGUAUUUUCAGAGGACAUGCAAAAUGCAGCAGAAAUUUGGAAGAAUUGAAUACUGACAUCUCUAACAGAAACCAGUAGGUCUGCAAAGACUCGUAGUGUCCUUGACCUGAAAAAAAAACACAAAACAAAACAAAACAAAACAAAAAACAAAAAAACCCUAGAUUUCUUGUGUGAGCAGAGGGGGGAGGGGAAGGGGAGGGAGGAAUUAUAGAGAAUGACUUAGGUUGG